UGGUUUCUGGCCUCACGAGAAGGCCCGCAAAAAUCCCCUUUUCCCUGGCGCCCGCCCCCGGCUCCAUCUGCCAAAGUCUAACAAGAGCCCAAAGUCCCCUCUCACAAGACUUCAGAUGAGAUCCGGGAUCCCGGCCUCAGACAGAGCUAGGAAGGUGGAGGCUCAGGCAAUGGGCAGCCCAGAUCUAGCCCUAUAAAUGCUCAGGCAAUGGGCAGCCAGAUCUAGCCCUAUAAAACCCCUGCCUACGAGGCGCACUGCAUUUCAGCACGCGAAGAGUCAUAGGGAGAGAACUGUCACUUGUAAAACAUUACUUGUUUUCUGGGCCCACUUUCUUCUGAGAGUGUGCCGGCCUUGCUUUUCAGGCCUUGCUGUUUCUCAUAUAUUCCCUGAAGAAUAGGGUCUGAUUUCAUUUGAGAGACCAUUUGUUUUUCACAGCUAUUCUCAAGUUUAUAUUAUAAUCCCUAAAGGGUCUGAUUUCAUGACACAGAGCAGUCUUAGCUUCAGAGCUAUUUCUUCAGUGUAUAUUGUAGUCCCGACAGAAUAGGGUCUACUUUCAGAGUAUGGGCUUUGCACUUCAGGGCUGUUUGCUCAGCUCAUUAUAUCAACAUACUACCCACAGAUUAGGGUCUGGUUCAAGAGUGCGGCAUUUGCCUUUCUGGGCUGUUUAUCCAGUCCAUAUUAUUGAUAUAAUACCCACAGAAGAGGGUCUAGAUUAGGAGUACAGAGUUUGUUUUUCAGAGCUAUUUUCCAAGUCCCUAUCAUCAGUAUGCCCACAGAACAGGGCCUGGUUUAAGAACACAGACCCGGCGGGGGAUUUAUACAGGUAAAGCGAUGACUGUCCUGAAUCAGUGCCUGGAUGCAGUAAUGUACUGGAUGAAGGUGAACACGUUGAAACUCUAUCCAGACAAGACAGAAGUACUAUUAGUUGGUGGUUCCUCUGCCCAGGACUUAAAUGACUUGAAAACAUCAUGCAAGUUCACUUCCUUUCAAGAUGAAGUAGUCAUCAACUCUUAGAAAACAUGACCUUAUCCAAUGUUGUGCAUUAUUUUGGUUUGUCUACAUAGCCCAGAAAUUGACAUUCUGGGGGUUUUCUGGAAUACCAUUAUUGUCCAGAACAGGUACAUGACAUCUAUUUUGUGGAUGUUCUGUGGCUUAUUAUAUCACUCUUAGACAGGAAAUGUAGGUCUAUUUGUAUAUCAGAGGCACUGAUUUCUCUUUCCAGUGUUGUAAAAUGAAACCACAAGAAAGGCUAAAUGAGGACUUCAUUUAAAGUAGGACUUCACACUUGCUUUAAUGGGACACCAAAGACCAAAAAAAGUGCAAUACUUUGGUAGUCCCAUUAAAGCAAGUGUGAAGUCCUACUGCUUCCCCACAUCUCCAAGAUGGCAAGGGAACCCUUUCUUUGCAUACACUGUGAUCCUGAUGAAACCCCCUUAUAAAUUACUACUUGCCCUGUAAAGGAAGCUGCUACUGGUGAUAAUAGAUUGGAGGAGUGUUUUUUUCAGGUGAAGGGAGGGAUUAAACCACUCUCCCUUCUCAUGCCACACCCUUGACCAGAAUCAGCACCACAUGGGUUGUACUUUUUUUGUUUGUUUUUUUAAAGAACAACUGAAAGUACAGGGAUACUUUUAGCAGUAGAUAGACUGUACUGAACAUGUGAGAACAGCACAUACUUUAACUCAACAAUUCAUUACUAGCAACUUGCUAGAAGAGCCCAGCAAAAGAGCCCAGCAAAAAGACAUAGACUGUUAAGAAUACCAAGUGCAGCUUAUCUGAGGACUAUCUAUGGUUACUGAUCCAUCUGAGCCUAUGACUGUUCAGGCCCUUCAGUUUAUACAGACACAACUAUGCAUACAGAUGUGUGCUAUAGAAGUAAAACAGUUUUAUUAGUUUUCUUAUAUAAUUUGUCUCAUACUGAGGUCUUUCGGACAUGCCUCUUAAAGAGGCAAUGCACAACAGUUUGAUUGUAAGAAAGAGGGCAGAAAAAGUUCAGGCUGAGUUGUCAUGAGAACAGCUAUCUUGUCUACCACUGAAUUACACAUAAGAUGGUAUAAGACCGCUCCAUACUUCAAUCAAGUCCAAAAUCUCACAAAUCUAUCUAUUAGCAAAUAUAAGCUUUUUCUCUUAAUUUUGCAA
Molecule: long non-coding RNA, 2136 nt
Organism: Hemicordylus capensis (graceful crag lizard)
Lineage: Eukaryota; Metazoa; Chordata; Lepidosauria; Squamata; Cordylidae
Exons: 3
Source: RefSeq, a predicted model, not a curated record